GGUAGAAUUCCAGGUGUAGCGGUGAAAUGCGUAGAGAUCUGGAGGAAUACCGGUGGCGAAGGCGGCCCCCUGGACAAAGACUGACGCUCAGGUGCGAAAGCGUGGGGAGCAAACAGGAUUAGAUACCCUGGUAGUCCACGCCGUAAACGAUGUCUACUUGGAGGUUGUGCCCUUGAGGCGUGGCUUCCGGAGCUAACGCGUUAAGUAGACCGCCUGGGGAGUACGGCCGCAAGGUUAAAACUCAAAUGAAUUGACGGGGGCCCGCACAAGCGGUGGAGCAUGUGGUUUAAUUCGAUGCAACGCGAAGAACCUUACCUGGUCUUGACAUCCACAGAACUUUCCAGAGAUGGAUUGGUGCCUUCGGGAACUGUGAGACAGGUGCUGCAUGGCUGUCGUCAGCUCGUGUUGUGAAAUGUUGGGUUAAGUCCCGCAACGAGCGCAACCCUUAUCCUUUGUUGCCAGCGAUUAGG
This 470-nucleotide ribosomal RNA is filed under the name Salmonella enterica. RNAcentral's name for it is "bacterial SSU rRNA". It matches the Rfam family "Bacterial small subunit ribosomal RNA", at positions 660 to 1129 of the family's 1533-position model. Lineage: Bacteria; Pseudomonadati; Pseudomonadota; Gammaproteobacteria; Enterobacterales; Enterobacteriaceae. RNAcentral also lists the same sequence under 1 other name. The record is from RNAcentral.